Molecule: ribosomal RNA, 430 nt
Filed under: uncultured bacterium
Lineage: Bacteria
Description: partial 16S ribosomal RNA
Rfam family: Bacterial small subunit ribosomal RNA
Source: RNAcentral
AACGAACGCUGGCGGCAUGCCUAACACAUGCAAGUCGAACGAGACCUUCGGGUCUAGUGGCGCACGGGUGCGUAACGCGUGGGAACCUGCCCUUAGGUUCGGAAUAACUCCCCGAAAGGGGUGCUAAUACCGGAUAAUGUCUUCGGACCAAAGAUUUAUCGCCUUUGGAUGGGCCCGCGUUGGAUUAGCUAGUUGGUAGGGUAAAAGCCUACCAAGGCGACGAUCCAUAGCUGGUCUGAGAGGAUGAUCAGCCACACUGGGACUGAGACACGGCCCAGACUCCUACGGGAGGCAGCAGUGGGGAAUAUUGGACAAUGGGCGAAAGGCUGAUCCAGCAAUGCGUGAGUGAUGAAGGCCUUAGGGUUGUAAAGCUCUUUUAACCGGGAUGAUAAUGACAGUACCGGGAGAAUAAGCUCCGGCUAACUCCGUG